RNAcentral lists this ribosomal RNA (158 nucleotides) under uncultured bacterium. RNAcentral describes it as "partial 16S ribosomal RNA". It matches the Rfam family "Bacterial small subunit ribosomal RNA", at positions 347 to 522 of the family's 1533-position model. The record is from RNAcentral.
GGCAGCAGUGGGGAAUAUUGGACACUGGGCGCAAGCCUGAUGCAGCAAUGCCGCGUGAGUGAUGACGGCCUUAGGGUUGUAAAGCUCUUUUACCCGGGAUGAUAAUGACAGUACCGGGAGAAUAAGCCCCGGCUAACUCCGUGCCAGCAGCCGCGGUA